UUACGGCCAUAUCACGUAAAAACACCGGUUCCCGUACGAUCACCGAAGUUAAGCAACGUCGAACCUGGACAGUAGCUAGAUAUGUGAUCACUUAGGAAUAUUAGGUACUGUAAG
Acanthosepion pharaonis is the source of this 114-nucleotide non-coding RNA. The record is from the annotation of a GenBank genome assembly. Lineage: Eukaryota; Metazoa; Mollusca; Cephalopoda; Sepiida; Sepiidae.